Long non-coding RNA from Lycium barbarum (goji berry), 1638 nucleotides. RefSeq lists it as uncharacterized. The transcript has 5 exons. Lineage: Eukaryota; Viridiplantae; Streptophyta; Magnoliopsida; Solanales; Solanaceae. The record is from RefSeq and is a predicted model, not a curated record.
UAAACACUCUAAAUGAGCCGGACUGAACACCACACAAAAUUUAUUUAACUCUUGAAAAGAAUGAAUAAUAAAGUAAGAAACUACAAAAUCAUUCUCUCAAAAACAUAAACCCUCCAUCCCUCAAAAUGCCUAACCCUAAUUUCAUUUGAGAAACGUAGAAGUCUAUUCAGACCCAUCACCGGUGGUCCUUUUGGUAGGUCUUCCCUCUAUUCUCUUCAUCUCCAUGGUUGUACCCUUUCGUUAUUUCUGGACCUAGCAGAAAACCCAUCACCGGCAAACUUGGUUUCUAUUAGCGAAAUGUGAGUUUCUGACCUAUCCAUGUUCUCCGGUGUGCACACUUGACCAUGUGCCCUAGAACUGCCCGAGAUCCUAUCUUGCAUACCAAAAUUAAUUUCCCGGAGACUGUCAAUGCUUGGCUACUAGCUGAGGAAUUUAGCUACAAUAUUAUGGAUGGGAUAUCAAUUGAUAGACCACUUCGAUUUAUAGCAACAAGCCAUGAACUUUGAUGCUCUGUGUGCUAAGCUCUAGCUUCUACCUCGGUGAUUUUUUAUUUUGUCAGUUUUAGGAUCAAACCUGAGUUCCCAUGUUGGCCAGUAGUGCAAAUCUUGCUCCAAUGUGAGCACUCAGGGCUUCCCAUUCAGGUGGACUAUUCGUACACGAACAAACUCUCCAUUCUCUAUUGCUGCUAGUAAGGAACUUUAUAGAAUUUCAGUUUAUAGAGGAUAGCACAAACUCUCCAUUCUCCAUUCUCUAGAGUGUGAUGGUUUUUGUUUAUUUGUUUGGAUAAGUAGAAUGUGAUGGAUUGUUGUUUCAUGGAUCUUAAUUGUUGACUGUACUUGACUGAAUGACAGUAGACCCUGCAAGAAAAUUAUCGGUUUUUAACAUUAUUUUGAAAUGCCAUUUACUUUGUAAUUUUGAAACACAAAAAAUAUAUUUUUUACAACUCUGCCAUGUGAUAGCCAUCACAAAAAUUUGCUCAUGGCUGACUUUUUGUAUAUCAAACAGUUUAGUUUAAUAUGAAGUGACACUGAUUAUGGAUCUCAAAAUCUUGUGUGGUUAAGAAUUAAGCACUAGCUUUAAACUUCUGUUAUUUAAUCUUUCCGUCCCUUGAAAGAUAUUGGAUUCAAGUCUGUGGCAUGGAUUUAAUGCUGCCUCUAAUUCUUUAAAAGUGUAAGUAGCAGCGUAAGGUGAUGGGGUAUUUUCGGUCACGUGUUCCUACAACUCACUCUAAUGGUACUACCCAGCCAGAUCUUUGGCCAUUGAAGUCCAUAUGGAAGAGUAAAGUUCAUGUAAGCAUAUGGAAGAGUAAAGCUCAUUUUCUCAGCUCCUUGCGGCUAAACACUCUCAACUCCUUGUGUUAAAACACUCUCCUUCAUAUUCCAGGAUUUGGAGACUACAGUUUACAAGACAAUAUGUGCUAGGUUUGAAGACUUCAAACAAGCUGACGAUUUGUUUAUCAUGUUAAUAGGAUUAUUAGAUCAGAAAUUAUAUUCGGAUGUUUGUUUUCCCCCAAGGGGUGGGUAUACAACUGUGUGACUUAUAUAUCAUGGUUAUACAGUGCCACUAGUCGGAUGUUAAUCCAUUAUUUGUAACUAAUUAAAGACUAUAUUUAUGACAGCGGGAUAUUAUUGCUUAUUU